GCCAGGAUGAAGGUGCGGUAACACGCACUGGAGGUCCGAACCCACUAACGUUGAAAAGUUAGGGGAUGAGCUGUGGAUAGGGGUGAAAGGCUAAACAAAUCCGGAAAUAGCUGGUUCUCUCCGAAAACUAUUUAGGUAGUGCCUCACGUAUCACCUUCGGGGGUAGAGCACUGUUUAGGCUAGGGGGUCAUCGCGACUUACCAAACCUAUGCAAACUCCGAAUACCGAAGAGUGCGAGCGUGGGAGACAGACAUCGGGUGCUAACGUCCGGUGUCGAGAGGGAAACAACCCAGACCGCCGAUUAAGGUCCCCAAGACAUAGUUAAGUGGGAAACGAGGUGGGAAGGCUCAGACAGCCAGGAGGUUGGCUUAGAAGCAGCCAUCCUUUAAAGAAAGCGUAAUAGCUCACUGGUCGAGUCGUCCUGCGCGGAAGAUGUAACGGGGCUCAAACUAUGCACCGAAAUCGCGGAUAUGGACUUUGUCCAUAUGGUAGGAGAGCGUUCUGUAGGCCGUUGAAGGUGGCUUGUAAAGGCUGCUGGAAGUAUCAGAAGUGCGAAUGCUGACAUGAGUAGCGAUAAAGCGGGUGAAAAGCCCGCUCGCCGAAAGCCCAAGGUUUCCUGCGCAACGUUCAUCGGCGCAGGGUGAGUCGGCCCCUAAGGCGAGGCUGAAAAGCGUAGUCGAUGGGAAACAGGUUAAUAUUCCUGUACCUCUUUGUAAUGCGAUGGGGGGACGGAGAAGGUUAGGUCAGCCGGGUGUUGAACGUCCCGGUUUAAGCGUGUAGGGAGAUCUUCUAGGCAAAUCCGGAAGGUCAAUCCUGAGGCGUGACGACG
RNAcentral lists this ribosomal RNA (829 nucleotides) under uncultured beta proteobacterium. Its description in RNAcentral is "bacterial LSU rRNA". It matches the Rfam family "Bacterial large subunit ribosomal RNA", at positions 739 to 1571 of the family's 2925-position model. The record is from RNAcentral. Lineage: Bacteria; Pseudomonadati; Pseudomonadota; Betaproteobacteria.